GAGACAGGACACUACAGAGGGGACAGAAGGCACUACAAAUCUGGGAAAAGCUGCAAAAGCUGCAAAACCCCAGGACUCACUGAGCUACGCAAAGGUCCAUGUUUCAGUCUAUAUGUUGUUUCAGACAAAAGAAACUAUAGCAUCAGCUUUUACGUAAAGUUCCCUCCUGAAGUGCAGAUGCCCCUCUACCAUACAAUCUAUGUAAAAGCAUUACAGCUCCUUCUGGAUCUCAUGAAGCUUAGCAUUCAAUGCAGAGGCAUUGACUGCUUAAGCUACAGAAGUGAAGACAAGAGGAGUACAGCUGAGCUGACAGAAAGAAACACAGGAAAGAAGGGACUGAUUAAUCAUGCCUAGGAAGAUCAGACCAUUUGUUUGUACUACAGAUGUUUGUACUGCGUUUCUUUCUUUCAAGGACAACUCUGUGCAGUGUAUGACCUUGCUGUGAAGAUAUCAUAUUAAGUAACAGAGAGAAAAGAAAUCAUCUGGUUCUCUGUUUUUAGGUUUUGAAAGACCAUGGACAAGACUUUCUUGUUGGCAACCGGUUAACCAGGGCAGAUGUGCAGCUACUUGAAAUCAUUUUAAUGGCAGAAGAGUUCCAACCUGAUAUACUUGCCAAAUUUCCUCUCUUGCAGAGUUUUAAAGCAAGAAUAAGCAAUAUCCCCACAAUAAAGAAAUUCCUGCAGCCUGGCAGCCAGAGGAAACCACCAACACCAGAGGAAGAUAUACCCAAAGUGCUGGCAAUUUUCUUCUGAGCAGCAGCCUAAAGCCACAGAAACUCUGAUUUCAUUGUGUUUGCUGAUAGUGGCAAAGGGAAAUGAAUGAAAACAGUGAAAAUGUUUUUGAUCUCUCUUUCCUUAGCUACAGGACUGGUUUGAGCCUACUGUCAACACUUCCUAGGGAAAUCUGUAUGAGCAUACCAGAAAAUGGAGUAGUUCACUGAUUAGGGAGUAUAUUGGACAACACAAGAUAUCUUAAAUGACUAAAGAGAAUACCUGAAAUAAAGUCUUACUAUUGACACUCAAA
Long non-coding RNA from Neopelma chrysocephalum (saffron-crested tyrant-manakin), 1023 nucleotides. RefSeq lists it as uncharacterized. NCBI's taxonomy places the organism in Eukaryota, Metazoa, Chordata, Aves, Passeriformes, Pipridae. The record is from RefSeq and is a predicted model, not a curated record. The transcript is spliced from 2 exons.